AUUGAACGCUGGCGGCAGGCCUAACACAUGCAAGUCGAGCGGAUGAAGGGAGCUUGCUCCUGGAUUCAGCGGCGGACGGGUGAGUAAUGCCUAGGACUCUGCCUGGUAGUGGGGGAUAACGUCCGGAAACGGGCGCUAAUACCGCAUACGUCCUGAGGGAGAAAGUGGGGGCUCUUCGGACCUCACGCUAUCAGAUGAGCCUAGGUCGGAUUAGCUAGUUGGUGGGGUAAAGGCCUACCAAGGCGACGAUCCGUAACUGGUCUGAGAGGAUGAUCAGUCACACUGGAACGGAGACACGGUCCAGACUCCUACGGGAGGCAGCAGUGGGGAAUAUUGGACAAUGGGCGAAAGCCUGAUCCAGCCAUGCCGCGUGUGUGAAGAAGGUCUUCGGAUUGUAAAGCACUUUAAGUUGGGAGGAAGGGCAGUAAGUUAAUACCUUGCUGUUUUGACGUUACCAACAGAAUAAGCACCGGCUAACUUCGUG
This 484-nucleotide ribosomal RNA is filed under the name uncultured bacterium. RNAcentral's name for it is "partial 16S ribosomal RNA". It matches the Rfam family "Bacterial small subunit ribosomal RNA", at positions 30 to 507 of the family's 1533-position model. The record is from RNAcentral.